This 465-nucleotide ribosomal RNA is filed under the name Vreelandella stevensii. RNAcentral describes it as "partial 16S ribosomal RNA". It matches the Rfam family "Bacterial small subunit ribosomal RNA", at positions 338 to 795 of the family's 1533-position model. Lineage: Bacteria; Pseudomonadati; Pseudomonadota; Gammaproteobacteria; Oceanospirillales; Halomonadaceae. The record is from RNAcentral.
CCUACGGGCGGCUGUAGUGGGGAAUAUUGGACAAUGGGGGGAACCCUGAUCCAGCCAUGCCGCGUGUGUGAAGAAGGCCCUCGGGUUGUAAAGCACUUUCAGUGAGGAAGAACGCCUGGUGGUUAAUACCCAUCAGGAAAGACAUCACUCACAGAAGAAGCACCGGCUAACUCCGUGCCAGCAGCCGCGGUAAUACGGAGGGUGCGAGCGUUAAUCGGAAUUACUGGGCGUAAAGCGCGCGUAGGUGGCUUGAUAAGCCGGUUGUGAAAGCCCCGGGCUCAACCUGGGAACGGCAUCCGGAACUGUCAAGCUAGAGUGCAGGAGAGGAAGGUAGAAUUCCCGGUGUAGCGGUGAAAUGCGUAGAGAUCGGGAGGAAUACCAGUGGCGAAGGCGGCCUUCUGGACUGACACUGACACUGAGGUGCGAAAGCGUGGGUAGCAAACAGGAUUAGAUACCCUUGUAGUC